CCUACGGGAGGCAGCAGUAGGGAAUCUUGCACAAUGGGCGAAAGCCUGAUGGAGCAACGCCGCGUGGGUGAAGAAGGUCUUCGGAUUGUAAAACCCUUUUGUUAGGGAAGAAAGUGCGUGGGAGAAUCUGCUCACGUUUCGACGGUAUCUAACCAGAAAGCCACGGCUAACUCCGUGCCAGCAGCCGCGGUAAUACGUAGGUGGCAAGCGUUAUCCGGAUUUAUUGGGCGUAAAGGGAACGCAGGCGGUCUUUUAAGUCUGAUGUGAAAGCCUUCGGCUUAACCGGGGUAGUGCAUUGGAAACUGGGAGACUUGAGUGUAGAAGAGGGGGGUGGAACUCCAGGUGUAGCGGUGAAAUGCGUAGAUAUAUGGAAGAACACCGGUGGCGAAGGCGGCUCUCUGGUCUGUGACUGACGCUGAGGUUCGAAAGCGUGGGUAGCAAACAGGAUUAGAUACCCGGGUAGUC
RNAcentral lists this ribosomal RNA (465 nucleotides) under uncultured bacterium. Its description in RNAcentral is "partial 16S ribosomal RNA". It matches the Rfam family "Bacterial small subunit ribosomal RNA", at positions 338 to 795 of the family's 1533-position model. The record is from RNAcentral.